AUCAAUUGAAAGCCAAAUUAUUGAAGAAUCGAAUGCAUGACCUAAGAAUCCUGAUUAUCUAAGUGUUCUUGAUCUCAAGCACGAAGAAGGAAGAAGGCGCAAGUCACUCGAAGGCACAAGUAUCUCAAGAUCGCGGUAAAUCUCAAGUUUAAAUGUGGCGCACUCGGACCGAUCACACGCACACGCAACGCCGACCUUAUGCGCUUCCGGUCCAAGUUGUUUAUUUUGAAUGGGUCAAUUUAACAUUUUGUGUAGUUAAUGUCAAU
Helianthus annuus (common sunflower) is the source of this 266-nucleotide long non-coding RNA. RefSeq lists it as uncharacterized. The record is from RefSeq and is a predicted model, not a curated record. NCBI's taxonomy places the organism in Eukaryota, Viridiplantae, Streptophyta, Magnoliopsida, Asterales, Asteraceae. The transcript has 3 exons.